UUGUAAAUUAUUACGAAUCUAAAUUGUCUUUUGAACUUCGUUUCACAAACUAUGCCGUCAUUUCAACACCAUUUCGAGUCAUCUUCGGAUUAAGCAAAGCAAAUAUAAAUUGUCAUUACAGAUAUCACUACACGAUUGUCUCUAAGGGUAGUUUCUGCAUACAUCUCACAAACGCUAGAGUGUCCUGUUGGCUCUGGCAAGUCUCCUCCACAGCUGAGACGCUACGAGACGUCUUCUCUGGUUCUUGGUCAACAGCAAACGAGGAGAUGGCUGAACCACUCAUGGCGAUCACUCCACGGAUAAACCCUACAUAAACCAAUCACUUCAAUGCUACUCUAGUGCACUCCAUAUUGUCCAGACAGAACUACACCCUUGUCUGGACUAAAGAAGUUCUAAACCAUCAGAAGUUAAUACAAAAAUGUGAAUCUACUAAUUUAAAACACCAAAUACUUUAUGAGAAAAAUUAAUGAACACUACUAUUUUAUUGUGAUUGAUUACUACACUGUACAUAAAUAAAUUCAUAGGUACCUGUUGUUAA
Macrosteles quadrilineatus (aster leafhopper) is the source of this 538-nucleotide long non-coding RNA. RefSeq lists it as uncharacterized. The transcript has 2 exons. NCBI's taxonomy places the organism in Eukaryota, Metazoa, Arthropoda, Insecta, Hemiptera, Cicadellidae. The record is from RefSeq and is a predicted model, not a curated record.